Molecule: ribosomal RNA, 565 nt
Filed under: Achromobacter xylosoxidans
Lineage: Bacteria; Pseudomonadati; Pseudomonadota; Betaproteobacteria; Burkholderiales; Alcaligenaceae
Description: bacterial SSU rRNA
Rfam family: Bacterial small subunit ribosomal RNA
Source: RNAcentral
GCGGGAUGCCUUACACAUGCAAGUCGAACGGCAGCACGGACUUCGGUCUGGUGGCGAGUGGCGAACGGGUGAGUAAUGUAUCGGAACGUGCCUAGUAGCGGGGGAUAACUACGCGAAAGCGUAGCUAAUACCGCAUACGCCCUUCGGGGGAAAGCAGGGGAUCGCAAGACCUUGCACUAUUGGAGCGGCCGAUAUCGGAUUAGCUAGUUGGUGGGGUAACGGCUCACCAAGGCGACGAUCCGUAGCUGGUUUGAGAGGACGACCAGCCACACUGGGACUGAGACACGGCCCAGACUCCUACGGGAGGCAGCAGUGGGGAAUUUUGGACAAUGGGGGAAACCCUGAUCCAGCCAUCCCGCGUGUGCGAUGAAGGCCUUCGGGUUGUAAAGCACUUUUGGCAGGAAAGAAACGUCCCGGGAUAAUACCCCGGGAAACUGACGGUACCUGCAGAAUAAGCACCGGCUAACUACGUGCCAGCAGCCGCGGUAAUACGUAGGGUGCAAGCGUUAAUCGGAAUUACUGGGCGUAAAGCGUGCGCAGGCGGUUCGGAAAGAAAGAUGUGAAU